This 252-nucleotide ribosomal RNA is filed under the name uncultured bacterium. RNAcentral describes it as "partial 16S ribosomal RNA". It matches the Rfam family "Bacterial small subunit ribosomal RNA", at positions 524 to 776 of the family's 1533-position model. The record is from RNAcentral.
UACGUAGGGGGCAAGCGUUGUCCGGAAUUAUUGGGCGUAAAGCGCGCGCAGGCGGUCAUUUAAGUCUGGUGUUUAAUCCUAGGGCUCAACCCUAGGUCGCACUGGAAACUGGGUGACUUGAGUACAGAAGAGGAAAGUGGAAUUCCACGUGUAGCGGUGAAAUGCGUAGAGAUGUGGAGGAACACCCGUGGCGAAGGCGGCUAACUGGUCCAUAACUGACGCUGAGGUGCGAAAGCGUGGGGAGCAAACAGG